Long non-coding RNA from Sander lucioperca (pikeperch), 629 nucleotides. RefSeq lists it as uncharacterized. Lineage: Eukaryota; Metazoa; Chordata; Actinopteri; Perciformes; Percidae. The transcript is spliced from 3 exons. The record is from RefSeq and is a predicted model, not a curated record.
CACGUUCAUCUGGUGGUGCUUUCAGGGACCAUGGCAGCUGAGUUCAGCCAGUGAAAGUGAGCGUUGUUGGGCUCUGACCAGUUACAUUUUGUCCCAGUGGUGUAGCCGUAGCUCUGCACAUGCUCACAUCGUGUCUUCACACCCAGAAUCCUCCUCACAUUUACCCACAAUGCAUCUGUGUGGAGUCUCUGAGUCUGAACGUGUUCAGUUUGUCCUGAAGCUGGAGGUCAGCGUCUAUAGUUCAUUUCCUGUUUACUCCUCCCUCCACUUCCUGUUUACUCCUCGGUCGAGAUUCAUCAGACAGGUCAAAGGUCAAAGGUCACCUUUUAAAGGAACAGUCCAACAUUUUAGAAAUCCUCUCGUUCUCAGACUGUCAACGUUAGCCUAGCUUAGCACAAAGACUGGAGCCAGGGGCAAACUGUUAGCCUAGCUUAGCACAAAGACUGGAGCCAGGGGCAAAUUGUUAGCCUAGCUUAGCACAAAGACUGGAGGCAGGGGGAAAGUUAGCCUAGCUUAGCACAAAGACUGGAGGCAGGGGGAAACUGUUAGCCUAGCUUAGCACAAAGACUGGAGGCAGGGGGAAAGUUAGCCUAGCUUGGCAUAAAGACUGGAGCCAGGGGAAAAGUUAG